This 479-nucleotide ribosomal RNA is filed under the name uncultured Anoxybacillus sp. RNAcentral's name for it is "bacterial SSU rRNA". It matches the Rfam family "Bacterial small subunit ribosomal RNA", at positions 910 to 1382 of the family's 1533-position model. The record is from RNAcentral. Lineage: Bacteria; Bacillati; Bacillota; Bacilli; Caryophanales; Anoxybacillaceae.
UUGGACCGGGGCCCGCACAAGGCGGUGGAGCAUGUAGGUUUAUUCGAAGCAACGCGAAGAACCUUACCAGGUCUUGACACUCCCCUGACAACCCGAGAGAGUCGGGCCGUUCCCCGUUCGGGGGGACAGGGUGACAGGUGGUGCAUGGUUGUCGUCAGCUCGUGUCGUGAGAUGUUGGGUUAAGUCCCGCAACGAGCGCAACCCUCGACCUUAGUUGCCAGCAUUCAGUUGGGCACUCUAAGGUGACUGCCGGCUAAAAGUCGGAGGAAGUGGGGAUGACGUCAAAUCAUCAUGCCCCUUAUGACCUGGGCUACACACGUGCUACAAUGGGCGGUACAAAGGGUCGCGAACCCGCGAGGGGGAGCCAAUCCCAAAAAGCCGCUCUCAGUUCGGAUUGCAGGCUGCAACUCGCCUGCAUGAAGCCGGAAUCGCUAGUAAUCGCGGAUCAGCAUGCCGCGGUGAAUACGUUCCCGGGCCUU